CGCGGCCUAUCAGCUUGUUGGAGAGGUAACGGCUCACCAAGGCAUCGACGGGUAGCUGGUCUGAGAGGAUGAUCAGCCACACUGGAACUGAGACACGGUCCAGACUCCUACGGGAGGCAGCAGUGGGGAAUCUUGCACAAUGGGCGAAAGCCUGAUGCAGCGACGCCGCGUGGGGGAUGACGGUCUUCGGAUUGUAAACUCCUUUCAGUAGGGACGAAGCGAAAGUGACGGUACCUGCAGAAGAAGCACCGGCCAACUACGUGCCAGCAGCCGCGGUAAUACGUAGGGUGCAAGCGUUGUCCGGAAUUACUGGGCGUAAAGAGCUCGUAGGCGGUUUGUCGCGUCUGCUGUGAAAUCCGGAGGCUCAACUGGGGGCGUGCAGGCGAUACGGGCAGACUUGAGUACUACAGGGGAGACUGGAAUUCCUGGUGUAGCGGUGAAAUGCGCAGAUAUCAGGAGGAACACCGGUGGCGAAGGCGGGUCUCUGGGUAGUAACUGACGCUGAGGAGCGAAAGCAUGGGGAGCAAACAGGAUUAGAUACCCUGGUAGUCCAUGCCGUAAACGGUGGGCGCUAGGUGUGGGGUCCUUCCACGGAUUCCGUGCCGUAGCUAACGCAUUAAGCGCCCCGCCUGGGGAGUACGGA
This 643-nucleotide ribosomal RNA is filed under the name uncultured Actinomycetes bacterium. Its description in RNAcentral is "bacterial SSU rRNA". It matches the Rfam family "Bacterial small subunit ribosomal RNA", at positions 232 to 886 of the family's 1533-position model. The record is from RNAcentral. Lineage: Bacteria; Bacillati; Actinomycetota; Actinomycetes.